Molecule: ribosomal RNA, 131 nt
Filed under: uncultured bacterium
Lineage: Bacteria
Description: partial 23S ribosomal RNA
Rfam family: Bacterial large subunit ribosomal RNA
Source: RNAcentral
AUCAAGCGUCUUAAGUGCAUUCAGUGGAUGCCUUGGCGUGCACAGGCGAUGAAGGACGUAAUACGCUGCGAUAAGCGUCGGGGAGCUGCGAAUAAGCUUUGAUCCGAUGAUUUCCGAAUGGGGAAACCCGG